This 23-nucleotide transfer RNA is filed under the name Osteolaemus tetraspis (dwarf crocodile). Its description in RNAcentral is "partial tRNA-Trp". The record is from RNAcentral. Lineage: Eukaryota; Metazoa; Chordata; Crocodylia; Crocodylidae.
AAGAAAUUAGGUUUAACCUUUAA